GAAUAUUGCACAAUGGGCGAAAGCCUGAUGCAGCAACGCCGCGUGCGCGAUGAAGGCCUUCGGGUCGUAAAGCGCUUUUCGGGGGGAUGAGGAAGGACAGUACCCUCGGAAUAAGUCACGGCUAACUACGUUCCAGCCGCCGCGGUAAGACGUAGGUGGCGAGCGUUAUCCGGAUUUACUGGGCGUAAAGCGCGUGCAGGCGGUUUAGUAAGGCGGGCGUGAAAUCUCCUGGCUCAACUGGGAGGGGUCGUCCGAAACUACUAGACUUGAGGGCAGUAGAGGGAGGUGGAAUUCCGGGUGUAGUGGUGAAAUGCGUAGAUAUCCGGAGGAACACCGGUGGCGAAAGCGGCCUCCUGGGCUGCCCCUGACGCUCAGACGCGAAAGCUAGGGGAGCGAACGG
RNAcentral lists this ribosomal RNA (400 nucleotides) under uncultured bacterium. Its description in RNAcentral is "bacterial SSU rRNA". It matches the Rfam family "Bacterial small subunit ribosomal RNA", at positions 359 to 775 of the family's 1533-position model. The record is from RNAcentral.